Molecule: unclassified non-coding RNA, 345 nt
Filed under: Hevea brasiliensis (rubber tree)
Lineage: Eukaryota; Viridiplantae; Streptophyta; Magnoliopsida; Malpighiales; Euphorbiaceae
Source: RNAcentral
UGUUGUUCCACUCAAACAUCUAUACGAAGCAAUACUAUUGGAAGAAUCAAUCAGUAUCCUUCAAAGGGUGUUUUUUUCUUGCAAAAAGUUACCAGUUUUGAGAAUCGUGAAUUGGGGUUUAAGCCUUUACUAGCAGUGAGUAAUGUAGCAGUUAAUCAGAAGAGUAGUGCUGAAAACCAAGUUAAUGAUAAACCUAGGUAUAGGUGGGUUAAGAUAGGCUCUGAUGUUACUGAGGAACAGCAAAGGGCUAUAUUGAAGCUUCCACCAAAGAUGAUAAAUAGAUGUAAGGCAUUAAUGCAACAGAUUAUUUGCUAUUCACCUGAAAAGGGUAGUGUGUCACUCUUG